CAACGCCGACAACGCAAGGAAGGACUGCAAUAAUGGCGUGGCGUUUUUAGUCCUUCCUUGCGUUGUCGGCGUUGCUCCAGCCCUUCUGCUACAGGAUCUAGUGGUGGGGUUGUGAAGUCCACGCGGUUCAGCGUCUUUUAAUUAGACGGUUUGUCUGAUUGUGGGAUGAAGAUGAAGAGAGAAGAGCUGGUGGUGGGUUUGUUGAGGUUUCAGAGCAUUUGUGCGACUGUUAAUGAAGGACAACCCAUUUGACCAUACAACCUUUUUUUUUAAGGGAUGGGAAUUCGAGGAAAAUGUGUAUCUAAUGUUUCUCGCAUGCUA
Long non-coding RNA from Mangifera indica (mango), 321 nucleotides. RefSeq lists it as uncharacterized. The record is from RefSeq and is a predicted model, not a curated record. The transcript is spliced from 2 exons. Lineage: Eukaryota; Viridiplantae; Streptophyta; Magnoliopsida; Sapindales; Anacardiaceae.